UAGGGAAUCUUCCACAAUGGGCGAAAGCCUGAUGGAGCGACGCCGCGUGUGUGAUGAAGGGUUUCGGCUCGUAAAACACUGUUGUAAGAGAAGAAUGACAUUGAGAGUAACUGUUCAAUGUGUGACGGUAUCUUACCAGAAAGGAACGGCUAAAUACGNGCCAG
Molecule: ribosomal RNA, 164 nt
Filed under: uncultured bacterium
Lineage: Bacteria
Description: partial 16S rRNA
Rfam family: Bacterial small subunit ribosomal RNA
Source: RNAcentral